This 497-nucleotide ribosomal RNA is filed under the name uncultured bacterium. RNAcentral's name for it is "partial 16S ribosomal RNA". It matches the Rfam family "Bacterial small subunit ribosomal RNA", at positions 28 to 507 of the family's 1533-position model. The record is from RNAcentral.
GAUGAACGCUGGCGGCGUGCCUAAUACAUGCAAGUCGAGCGAACAGAUGAGGAGCUUGCUCCUCUGACGUUAGCGGCGGACGGGUGAGUAACACGUGGAUAACCUACCUAUAAGACUGGGAUAACUUCGGGAAACCGGAGCUAAUACCGGAUAAUAUAUUGAACCGCAUGGUUCAAUAGUUAAAUACGGUUUUUCUUUCACUUAUAGAUUGAUCCGCGCCGCAUUAGCUAGUUGGUAAGGUAACUGCUUACCAAGGCAACGAUGCGUAGCAGACCUGAGAGGGUGAUCGGCAACACUGGAACUGAGACACGGUCCAGAAUCCGACGGGAGGCAGCAGUAGGGAAUCUUCCGCAAUGGGCGAAAGCAUGACGGAGCAACGCCGCGUGAGUGAUGAAGGUCUUCGGAUCGUAAAACUCUGUUAUUAGGGAAGAAAAAAUGUGUAAGUAACUAUGCACGUCUUGACGGUACCUAAUCAGAAAGCCACGGCUAACUACGUG